Molecule: small RNA, 32 nt
Filed under: Bombyx mori (domestic silkworm)
Lineage: Eukaryota; Metazoa; Arthropoda; Insecta; Lepidoptera; Bombycidae
Description: ovarian small RNA-10932
Source: RNAcentral
ACAACUACGACUCGAGGCUGUCCCGGCCUCCA